AGCCGCCACACUUUCCCAAGCCCGCAGGCGCCCCCCCCAACACCAGCGCUGCACCCCCGACCCAUUCCCCGCGGCCCCCUCCAGGAGAAAAAAUGAAACCAGACUGGCCGAGGAGGGGGGCGGCAGGGACCAGGGUGCGGAGCAGAGGUGAGGGAGACGGGACUUACUUUGCGAGGCGCGGUGCAGGGCGCCGCCGACGAGAAAUAAAGGCCCCGAUACGGGCUGCCUGGAGCCCCCCGAGCGCAGCAAUGUCAGGGCUCCAGUCCGGGCGGCGUUGGCGGCCGCAGGGGACGGGGACGGGCGCGCGUGCGGCGGGCGCUCUCGCUGCGCUCCGGCUCGGGCCCCGGCUCCGCGCGGCUCCGCUCCUGGCUCCCCUCUGGCUCCUGGCACCAACUCCGGGCAGUCACAUGACGCCGGCGCCGCUCGCUCUGCGAGCCUCCCGGGGCUGGCGGGAGAAUAACUUGUCUGACUACCAGUAUUCUUGGAUGCAGAAGUGCUGAAGAUGAGCACACACACGUACGGAGAAUUUCUGGAGAAUUCAGCUGCUCAGAACAAGAACUGAGAUCCAGAGAGAUGAUGACUUUGCCCAUAGACCAAACAAAGAAAUACAUGUUUCAGUCCUGUGUCCUCCUGCUAUGUGUGUCCGGAAUUGGUGGGUUCUUGGUCUCACUGACUUCAAGAAUGAAGCUGCGGACCCUCGCGGACCGUGUGUGAAUGCCUGCUCUGUGAGCCCUCAGAAUCUACUGGCUGAAUGAGUGCGUGGAGGAAAUGUGCUCAGAGCUGCUGUGUGUCAUCCUGUGUUUGAAGUGCUCCUGCAGCUAUCAUUCAUCCAGUUAAGAAUUUGAAGAAGUGUGUGCACAAAGACGGAGUCUCACUCUGUUGCCCAGGCUGGAGUGCAGUGGCACAAUCUCGGCUCACUGCAACCUCUACCUCCUGGAUUCAAGCGGUUUUCCUGCCUCAGCCUCCAGAGUAACAGGGAUUACAGGCAUACUCCACCUUGCCCUGCUGAUUUUGUAUUUUUAGUAGAGACAAGAGUUUCACCAUGUUGGCCAGGCUGGUCUUGAACUCCUGACCUCAAGUGAUCCACUGCCUCAGCCUCCCAAAGUGCUGGGAUUAUAGGCGUGAGCCACUGCGCCUGGCCAAAUGCUCUACUUUUUAAUCAAUGUUUUCCAAAAUAGGGAUUUUUGCUAUGUGCUUUAGAAAUUAGAGAACAAACGGUGAUAAUAUAUGCUAAACUUAAAAUUAGUAUGCCUCCUUUUAUAGACAACAAGAACUUUGUCACUUCCCAGUUUGUCUUGUCAUUCAGGAGGCUCAGAGCUACGAUCUGUGCCCACUCGUGCUGCCUCUUCUUAACUUUGAUUUCCUGAAGCAGCGAUUUCAUCUCCGUUUCCCCUCAUCACCUGUUCUUUUAACUGUUUAAAAACAGCAUUACAUGUUGUUGCAAGUGGCCUCAAAUUCUUUUUGGUAGAAGGGAAAUUGUAAUCCAUGAGAAGAAAAAAAUUUUCCUAACUAUUCUCAGGUGUGUUUAAGGGCUGCAUUCCAUGAUGCUAUCAGUGCCUUCUUUCAGCUCACAGGAUAUCGGCCAUGUUAAUGAGUCUGAUGUUGCUAGUAUCACAGGCACCGGAAAAUAUGCACAUUAUGCUGGAGCAUUAGAAUGCAACAGAAAGAGCCCUGGGCUUGGAGUAUGCAGAACUGGUUCUUGUUACAACUCCUCUUACUAGUGGGCUCUGGAAGAAAACACAUUGAAUUCAUGAUCAUGGUUAACCUUUGGAGAGAGAGAGGAGACCAGGAUGAAGGAGCCAGUCGAAGAUCCUGUUCAAGUGUACACUGAGCCAGCAGGUUCACCAGAAAGCUAUUGAGCGUUUGCUGGAACACAUUAUGCAGGGUGAAUUUCUUCUGGAAUGUUGCCAAGGAUUUUUUAUGCUUCUGUGGCAGGCAUUUCUUGAACAUUGUCAUUUAGCCAAGCAAAGAAGAUUUUCUUAAAGGAUAGAAAAUGUUUAAAAAUUUUUGUUUGUUUGAAGAUAGGUUAAAUGGCUAUAUGAUCUCAGGAUAAGACAGAGAAAAUCACUUAUUUCUCUAAGUGAUCUGAUUAGGUUAGUGAUGUUUUGCCUUUAAACAGAUUCAUCAUUAUUCCUAAAGUAUUGCUGUAUUAAUACUGUCUUCUAGAAAGUAUCCACCAGUGCCUACUUUUCUUCGAUAUCAUUAGCUGUUUUUCGAAACUGAAUUUGCUCUUCAGAGAUUUCUCAUAUGUUUGCGUAUAAGGAACUACUGGUAAUAGCCAAGAAAAUUUGGAGGUGCAGAGAACAUGCUGAAACAGAAUUUUUCACUUUCAAUUCUAGAACUAUGCCAUAAAAAAAAAGGAAAAUGUAAAAAUGUCUUUAUAUUAGAGCAGAUAUUUUAAAAGUAUUGCAAAUUCAAUGAUAAAUUCUAAGGUUAAAAUUGGACACAUAAAAAAUACAAUAUAUAAAUAUCUCCCCAGAAAUUAUUAUCUAAUGAAUAGUAAAAGCUGACUACAAACCAUGUCAUUUUAACAAGGGUUUAAAUAGUACCAAGAUUCUCAUCAUAUGCUCUGGGAUACCCAGUGAUGUACAAGGGUUCUCUCUAAACAUGGGGAGGAAAAAUUUCAAAUAUAAAGAUUUGAAUCUUGUCUUUGCCAUUCACUAGCUGUGUGAUCUUGGGUAAGUUACCUGGUUUCUCUGAGCUUCAGUGUCAUCUGUAAAACAGGAAUAAUAAUACCUAGCUCAGAGGCGGGUGUGGUGGCUCACGCCUGUAAUCCCAGCACUUUGGGAGGCCAAGGCAGGUGGAUCACUAGGUCAGGAGUUUGAGACCAGCCUGGCCAAGAUGGUGAAAUCCUGUCUCUACUUAAAAAAAAAAAAAAAUAGCCAGGCAUGGUGGCAGGCACCUGUGAUCCCAGCUACUCAGGAGGCUGAGGCAGGAGAAUCGCUUGAACCCGGGAGGCGGAGGUUGCAGUCAGCUGAGAUCUCGCCACUGCACUCCAGCCUGGGCAAUAGAGUGAGACUCCGCCUCAAAUAAAUAGGUAAAUAAAUAAAUAAAUAAAUAAAAGUAAAUAAAUAAAUAAAUAAAUAAUAAUACCUAGCUUAUGGGGCUGCUGUGGGUGUUUGUAAAGUAUCUCAAUGGUGCCUACAUAUUGUAAAGGCUUAUGAAUAUAUUAGUUCCUUUCUCAACUUCCUCAAUUCAUUCCACCACUACAAGUCAAUCUAGAGAUUAAAAUAGGCAAAACUGUGAUCUACGUUAGGAUGGGGUUGUUUGAGUGGUGGUUUAUUUCUGAC
Molecule: long non-coding RNA, 3290 nt
Filed under: Homo sapiens (human)
Lineage: Eukaryota; Metazoa; Chordata; Mammalia; Primates; Hominidae
Description: KLF3 antisense RNA 1
Source: RNAcentral